Molecule: ribosomal RNA, 164 nt
Filed under: uncultured bacterium
Lineage: Bacteria
Description: partial 16S ribosomal RNA
Rfam family: Bacterial small subunit ribosomal RNA
Source: RNAcentral
UAGGGAAUCUUCCACAAUGGGCGUAAGCCUGAUGGAGCAACACCGCGUGAGUGAAGAAGGGUUUCGGCUCGUAAAGCUCUGUUGUUAAAGAAGAACACGUAUGAGAGUAACUGUUCAUACGUUGACGGUAUUUAACCAGAAAGUCACGGCUAACUACGUGCUAG